UGCUGUAUCCAGCGUGGGAUGC
Molecule: non-coding RNA, 22 nt
Filed under: Mus musculus (house mouse)
Lineage: Eukaryota; Metazoa; Chordata; Mammalia; Rodentia; Muridae
Source: RNAcentral